GACGAACGCUGGCGGCGUGCUUAACACAUGCAAGUCGAACGGUAAUGCCCUGUGUUUGUGGGGUGUUUGAGCGGCGAACGGGUGCGUCACACGUGAGUAACCUACCGUUGACUAUAGGAUAACUUAAUGAAACUAGGGUUGAUACCGGAUAGGAGCUCCUGCUGCAUGGAAGGGGUUUGUACGUUUCGGCGGUUUGGGAUGGACUCGCGGCUUAUCGGCUUGUUGGUGGGGUAGUGGCCUACCACGGCUUGGACGGGUAGCCGGCCUGAGAGGGUCACCGGCCACAUUGGGACUGAGGUACGGCCCAGACUCCUACGGGAGGCAGCAGUGGGGAAUAUUGCACAAUGGGCGGAAGCCUGAUGCAGCAACGCCGCGUGCGGGAUGACGGCCUUCGGGUUGUAAACCGCUUUCGGCUGUGACGAAGCGAAAGUGACGGUAAUGGGUAAAGAAGCACCGGCUAACUACGUG
RNAcentral lists this ribosomal RNA (468 nucleotides) under uncultured bacterium. Its description in RNAcentral is "partial 16S ribosomal RNA". It matches the Rfam family "Bacterial small subunit ribosomal RNA", at positions 28 to 507 of the family's 1533-position model. The record is from RNAcentral.